Grammomys surdaster is the source of this 576-nucleotide long non-coding RNA. RefSeq lists it as uncharacterized. NCBI's taxonomy places the organism in Eukaryota, Metazoa, Chordata, Mammalia, Rodentia, Muridae. The record is from RefSeq and is a predicted model, not a curated record. The transcript has 2 exons.
UAGAGCCGUCUGGGAACCCUGGUCACCAAAGUGUGCACUGUUCAAUCAGGGGGAAUGAGCCUAAGGGAAGACAUGGCAUAAAGACAGGUGUCAGAAGAAACUAUCCAAGUGACAGCCCAGCAGAAUCCGAAAGCAAAGAAAUGGAUUUCAGCAAAACUAUAAAGUUCCAGCCGGGAGUCUUACCGUAAAAGUAGCAUAAAAGGAAGAAAGAGAAACCACAAACGCUUCCCUGAACAUCAAAAAAACCAGCAAAUUGGAGAUUUGAGAGAAUCAGAAGGAAAAGAACAAAAGCAGACACCCCAGGAGGGGAAAACUCUGUCCCCGCCCUCCCGUGGUGCUUUUCCCACUUGAGCUUUUGGACAUCAUCCUGAGUAUACCUGAGACAUGGCUAGAAAGAAAAAGAAAAAAAAAAGACAAAGAGCUGGGGAUGGGUGGGGUCCCAACAAUACCAUCGCUACCGCCUUUAUGGAAUUCAUGGUCUAGUGAGCCCCUGACUUUUGCCAGCAUUCCCAAACUGCCUCGGCUCAAGGUGAAGCUAUCUAAAUAGUACCUGAAUAAACAGAAGGCUUGGGUCAA